RNAcentral lists this ribosomal RNA (460 nucleotides) under uncultured bacterium. Its description in RNAcentral is "partial 16S ribosomal RNA". It matches the Rfam family "Bacterial small subunit ribosomal RNA", at positions 338 to 795 of the family's 1533-position model. The record is from RNAcentral.
CCUACGGGAGGCAGCAGUGAGGAAUAUUGGUCAAUGGACGAGAGUCUGAACCAGCCAAGUAGCGUGAAGGAUGACUGCCCUAUGGAUUGUAAACUUCUUUUAUAAAGGAAUAAAACGAGGCUCGUGUGCCUUUUUGCAUGUACUUUAUAAAUAAGGAUUGGCUAACUCCGUGCCCGCAGCCGCGGUAAUACGGAGGAUCCGAGCGUUAUCCGGAUUUAUUGGGUUUAAAGGGAGCGUAGAUGGGUUGUUAAGUCAGUUGUUAAAGUUUGCGGCUCAACCGUAAAAGUGCAAUUGAUACUGGCAGUCUUGAGUACAGUUGAGGUAGGCGGAAUGCGUGGUGUAGCGGUGAAAUGCUUAGAUAUCACGAAGAACCCCGAUUGCGAAGGCAGCUUACUAGACUGUGACUGACAUUGAUGCUCGAAAGUGUGGGUAUCAAACAGGAUUAGAUACCCUAGUAGUC